RNAcentral lists this long non-coding RNA (26195 nucleotides) under Triticum aestivum (bread wheat). Its description in RNAcentral is "long non-coding RNA (TAES_LNC003690)". The record is from RNAcentral. Lineage: Eukaryota; Viridiplantae; Streptophyta; Magnoliopsida; Poales; Poaceae.
GGAUCCUCACGCCACCCAGUUGAGUUAUGGAUCCGGGCCGGAUAACACCACUGACUAUGCUGUCAAACCGAAUCUUGUGUGAUCCACCGGCAACCGUAACAUUGAAGUCGCAGGAGGCGGGGAGUGUCACCUCAACGGCGCCCCCAUGGUUCACGUACGACUUCACACCCUGAGGCAGGAGAGCCCGCGGGAAGUUGUUUUUCUCCAAAAGGUCGUACGCUGUGUCGGAGGUGGCUGCUUGGAGGACAGAAGCCAGGAAGACGAUGAGGAGCAGAUGCCGGAUGGCCAUGUCUAGCUAACUGUUGCUGCUUACAAAUUGUAUCAAGGAAUAUGAGGAACUAGGAAGUAUGUGUAGACUGAGGCCCUGGCCACGUAUUAUAUAUGCUGCCCAACGAAAUCAAAGUCAAUCGUACUUUAAUUGCAUUUAUUUUGUUCCUGAUUAUCACUCCAUCAACCACCACAUCAAAUAUGCUAAAAAUAUCAUCCCAUUAAAUCAUAUUUAUUUCUGGCCUAGAACAUUCUAUAGUUAAUGGUUAUGCCAAAACGUUCCUCAAAUAUUCAUAAUCAAUACGUACCAUAAAAUGAGACUGAAAUUUCAGAGCAACAUUCAUUUACGUACUUCACAGCCGACAUAUGAAACAUAUGCAAAAACCUAAAAAUGAAUCAAGGGGAAACAUCAACAUCCAAACAGUUUGAUCCUUGAUGUUGGCUUGGGUACCAAUGAGGCUUCUCUUCUCUUCAAAUAAUGUUGUGCAGUGCAACUAAAACAUAAAACACCCGCAAGAAAGAAAUAUUUCAUUUAGAUAUACUUGAGUUUUACAUGAGUAUGCGGUGCAAUAGAAUGAUUAUCUCCCAUUGUGCAGAUCAUCUCUUUCAGGAUGCCUACUCAGGCCAGCACAGACUCAUACAUAACAUCUCCGUGAAAGUUUCCACAAUGUUAUAGCAUGAACUCCCAGACCGUGAGAGAGGCUCAGUACCCAUAUCCAAAAUGAAGAGUGCGGAGGAGCAGGUGCCUACCCCUCCACCUUCCACUUCUCUUAAAAUUUUCCUGUGCAAUGCAACUCAACUAAAAAACAACUCCAAGCAAUAUAUUCAAUUUAUAUCUUGUUGGGUUAUGAUACGUCUCCAACGUAUUUAUAUAUUUUUUAUUGUUCCAUGCUAUUAUAAUUGUUGGGUCAUGAGCCGAAAGCAAGCCAUCGAACAUGCCAAUGUUGGAUUGGAUGAGAUUGUCGACCGCCUGAAGGAGGUUCUCAUCGUGAUCCUUGAAGAGCCGGUCCAGACCUACGGUGAAAUACGCUCGUUGAAGCGCGUACACGCCACACCUUUCCUUGGACGGCUUGUCCAUCGCCUCCGCUCACGGCCGAUCACGCCACCGCAUCCCGUGAUGGUGUCGCGGCAACUCCAGGACCACUUAAUCUUAUACCAAUUGUGAGCAACUCACCUGAUCGAGAGGAAUUGCUAGGGAUUAGAAUUCGAAAUUGCGGAAAUUGGUUUCUUAGCUAGACGUCCGUCCACCCUCACAGCUACACUACACCGCAUGUUGUCAUCAUCCAAAUCCCAGCCAGGAGAUAGGAGAGAAGUAUAAUGCCUACUAGCUUAGCCCGCGCGGCGACACGCCGCGCCCAUCGAUCAGUCGCGACUAUGUAGACUAUGGUCCAAGCAAUAGAGUAAUAAGUAGUUAUGAUGAAAUUUGUUGCAUAACUUGAGGCUUUUUAGCAAAUUCUUUUGUUCACAACAAUUUAUAGACACAAAUAUCUAUCUUUCGUGGAAACUUUUAGUUUAUUUUGUACAUAGCAAGGGUCUGUCCACCAAGUUGAAACAAAUACACAACAUGACCAAAAGUAAGGAACUUCAGAACAGUGCUUUCGUAGCUAAAAUUUAAUAAUUUUUCACAUUUCAUAACAUAAAUACUUAACUAAAACUUACAUCUGAUCUGAAGUACAACCAUUGAGACAGUAAAAAAACCACUAUUUUGAUCAUCAGAAAAAAAUUAAUGUGCAUUUCAUGGAAAAAGUUUAGAGACAAAAUAAUUUAGCCAAGAGAAAAACUAUUUCAGAUCACAAAAGGCGCUCCAAAGAGUAAUUGUGUAUAUUAUUCAAAAGAACACUUUGUUACCUUCAGGCUUUAAUUAGCCCCAUUGUAUCUUGUGGAAUCAUGCAGUGAUACAAAUUCUUACCAUAAACAAAAAAAUUAAGCAGCUCUUAAUAUAGAAACAACCAUAUCACUCUGAAUCAAGGGAGCAUGAUGCGAUGAACUGAUGACGGGGAAUCUAUGGUAGCAUAUACCCAGGAAACAGUGUUCAUGGAAACUUUGUUAAACAACCCCUUGCUCAGCUUAAAAGUAUUCCUUCCUGGGUCUCCACUGAAACAAAGCAAUAUUUAUACACCCACAGGUGAGAACAAUAUGAGAUUGUUCGAUAUAAAACCAACAAUGCUUGAACAUACUUGUUUCUCUACCUCACCAUGUGGCAACCAGAAAAAGCUUUAACAAUUUAAAAACCACUUGCAAAUUGAAGUUGAGAGCCUUCACUUAUUUCUCGAAAUGGAAGGAGGAAGGGGCCUUAAUUUGUCCCAGUAACCCCAUGAAUAUAAUUAGCCAAAUAUGUGGCAUUUCAUCUUAUUACAUGGUCAUGCUGAAGGAGGGAACAUCAAUAAAAUUAGGCAUAAGAAAUCCAUCAAAUGAAGAGAGAUGUACUUAGAAAUAAGAAUAACAAACAUUCUCAGAUACUAUGUACCUUAUCCUGCCUCUAAGAAUAUGUCAAGAAGGUGAAUCAUUCACUUUUAUGUUACCGUUGCUGACAACGGACAACUGUGGAUGGAAACAAAAUUCUCAGCAAUGCAUAUAUGAAACUAAGUAACAUGACUUAGAAAAUAUAAUGUAAAAUAUCACAAUAAACUACUACUAAGUAUGUUCAAUAGUAAUACAACCUCAGUUUGUACCCCAGAAAUUUCUAUCACCAAAACAUCUUAGAAGGUUCAGUGCUAGUGAUGUGCCUGCCAUAAGACCGAAUGCCAAUUUCUAGUUAAAAAAUAACCGCGCAAGACCAUAUUCCUCUACCGCAAAGGGUAUAUGAUCAAGUGGGGCCAACUAAAGACAGGCCCCACGAUUCCAUUUUUUAAUGUAUGUUGUUGUAUAAUGAAUGACGCGCUUGUAUGCUUACGUGACUAUUUGGUUUUUGAUGUGAUGGAAAUUGGAGGGAAAGAUGCUGGACGGACUAAUUUGAUCAAUCGGGUGAGUAGAAGUAUUAGAGUUUUGGCCAUCUCAUCCAUUAAAUUUGGAUGGAGGGUAUGCAUCUUAAUAUGAUAAACAUAUAUGCAUACCGUAUAUGGGUUAUAUACAUAUAAAAAUCAGUGCAGCAGGCAUUUUUUCUGAAUCUAAACAUCUUGGUGGCCGAGUUCCAGUGUGAAAAUAUUGGUUUUAGUCCCUGGUCAAAUGGACUGAUGCAUAUUAUGUUUGGUUGUACCACGAAAAAUAAUUUGGUUGCUUUAAGACAUUCAACCGAGGUAGACGAUGCAAUUUUGGCUGACAUGAAGUUUUACGAUCAUCAAUAUAGCAGAAUAUGCAAAAGAUGGGAUAAAGCAAGUCAUAUCUACUCCCUCAGUCCCAUAAUAUAAGAGCGUUUUUGACACGAUGGAGGGAGUAGUUUGUUUAUUUGUUUGAGGAACACUUAUUUGCUUGGAGAAUAAUGAAGUGUGCUUGCACCGGUGCACAUGAGAUGAACUUGAACAAACGAUCUGCAUUCAUAUAUGCAUUGUACCAGAAAUCAGUGCUGCUCUAACUUGCCUCUGCAUUGCCUCUGAACCAGUGCUGAUCUAUAUCGGAGAUCAGGAAUUUACUCAUCAGGUCACUGCAUCUACUUUAUUGCGAUUAAACCACCAAACUCAAAGAAAUACCUGCAAUUUAUUUAAUAGUCUUAUUUGAUUUUUUAUUCAGAAUGCGUUGAGCUAUUUCUUUUGCCGAGCUACAUUCUUGUACAUUGGAUUCUCAAGGAGCAUCACUUGCGAGACAUAUCUUCACAUACUACCAUUUCAGAACACCACUCCCUUCACGCACAGGACAUACAUGUUCUACAUCCACCCCUCACACUCCUAAUUUCAAAACCGAGUUGGCAGGUUAUUGUAAGGCAGGUAAGCAACCUUCUAGAUGGAAUGUUGGAAUUUACUCUGGCAAGGUAGGUCUUAAACAUAUUAUCAUCUGGCUAUCUACUGUUUGAGCUCCCCAUGCUGCUAACACCAUCAAAUAUUGUUUGCUCCGGACAUCUUCAUAUGCCAAUUUGACCUUCUUUUUGGCAGACACAGUAUCUCAGAACAUCUAAAUUGACUCCUUGCACAGGUCUCUGAAUUGACACAAUCAGAAGGAUAAAACAAUCGCUAGAGCUCUUAUAGGAAGUCAGCCAUCAUUUUACUUAGACUAAAGAAGGUGUCUAUCACAAAAAAGGAAAAAAAAGUAAGUGCGAAGAAACACAUGUAGGGUUGCACAUAAUUUGUAAGAGAUGAUCAAGGCAUAUAGUUGCAGCAAGUAGCAAAUGGCAUGAAUUUAUUCAUGAUGCACUCACGCAUCAAGGGUGUAAAUCUUCUUUAGCUAGGUCCAAAUGCAGAUAGAUACAGUACAUGAAUGAUGUGUGAUAUGUCAUUGUAGGUUUCAGACCUGAUGAAAAGUUUAUUACAGUACACGAAAAAUAUUCAUGAAACGGUUAUACAGUACAGGAAUGAUGAGAAAUCGGAAAUUUCUGUACAGGAAUGAUGUAUAAUAAAUUGCUGAGAGGAAUAAAGAAGAUGCAGAAUGUCUGAAACUUCUCAAAACUGGAAACAAUUAUACAAAAGCUACCUGACAGAGUAUACGGCUAGGAAUCUGCCUAAUUCAGUGUCUCUUAUAAUCCACCAACGACUACGGCGUAAUCACCAUCAUUGCGGCUCAACCAGAAUUCGAUCGAAUAAUGAGGCAAAUAAAGCAGCUAAUAUGGGGUAAAUGCACACUAACUUGGCAGCAAGAACAGAUGGGUCAUAAGCGCCUUCAGUGACCCUACGACCUGCAAAUGGCAGUAUACAGACAGUGCGCCUUUACUCUGAAUAACCGAGAAGGAGCUAUCUUUAUCCUCUUUUUUUGCGGGGGAGCUGUCUUUAUCCUCCACUCAAGCUAGAUAUACUUACAAAGUUAGAGUUGUAUAAAGUUUUGAAGCGUAGCGCUGUGAAUGGAUCACUCGUCCAGCAGCCUCCUGACACAUAAAAUAGGCAGAGCGAGCAUUACAAGGUCCCAUAACUCGGGGUCAGGCUAGUCGAACACGAUGACGCGCACCACCGUGCGCCACGCCGACGCCAGGUAGUAGAGCGCGGGCCUCUCGCACUGGUUGUGCGCUAGGGGCUUCAUGUUGAACGCGCGCGCCUUGUAGUCAGCGGGCCAGUACCAGUUCAAGAACGUCCACGCCGGCAUCUGCAUCUCCCGCGCCAGCACAACGCCCUCGGCACCGUCACCACGAACCCCCACGCCACUGACACCGUCCACCGGUUCGCCGCGAUGUAGCAUAUCAACUGGUGCAUCACCCCCGUCGAACAGCCUCCGCAGAGACGCCGGGCGCGAACGCAUGUUGGGGAUAAGCGGUCGAGGUGGUGCAGCGAGUCAGCGACACCAGCGGUGCCACCUGGUGGGCGGCGAGGAGGCCCAGGAGGUCACCAUACACGCCUUACUCGUGGAAGCCCGAGUGUCGGCACACCCACAUCCGCCAUGCCCCAUGCACGAUGUAGUAGGGGACGGCGAGGAGGUUGUCCGGGAGGAAGACCGUGUUGUCGACUUGUCGUCACCCAUGACGAACCAGCUACACCUGGGAGACUGAGGCGGAAGGUCUCGGAGAUGACAGUCGACGUGUGAGAUGCAUGCGGAUGGCAGAGCGAUGACCGUGCGUGUAGGAGAAACCGGAGGUAUCCGGUAAGAUCUUGAUGUAUAUGCACUCCUUCCGCUUCUCCAACAGGCGCGCCAACGCCGUGAAGCCGAACACUGUAGCGUAAUCGUCGUUGUCGACACCGUGGCUGUGGCAGGUUGCGGUGGUGGUGGCGUACUCGUCGUCAACACCACCGUAUCUGUGGAGGGUGGUGGUGGCAUCCUCGCCGUCGACACCACCGUGACCGUGGCGGGCAUCAGCAGGGGCCUCGCCAGCGGCAACGUGACUAAUCAGGAGGAUAGCGUUGUGGGCGGCUUCUUCUGGGUGGAGGCAGCCGGGCGCUGCCACGCUGGGCAAGAUGCUAUGUGCGAAGAAGAGCCCUUUUAUAGGCCAGUACGGCGGUGAAUGGGUGGCUGGGUUAUGCACCGCACUGGAGCAGAGUUUUCGGGAGCGUCUAGAACACACGGCUGGACAACAGCGGCAGUAACAAAAAGGUACAUAUCGAUUGGGCCAGAAGCGGUCACGACAGAAAUACAGAGAAGCAUCGAUGUGUCUGGAAAGGGACAUAUCGAUUGGGCCAGAAGCGGCCGCGACAGAAAUACAGAGAAGCAUCGAUGUGUCAACCAACCGAUCGCCACACCCGUUGAAGAAAUUUGAAUCAAAAAACUGAACACACCACUCAUUUCUACCCUGCCGUGUACCAAAAAAAUACCACGCGCCAUACCCACAACUCACCAUAGGUCACUUUCAUCCAAUUGGUUUAAUCUCAAAGCGAAAACCUUGCCUGCAAUAGAGGCUUGGGUAUUUAAACUAGUGAUCGCUAACAUAGUAGAAGGGCGUGCUCAUAGUCCAUCAACCAUCGCGGUGGGUUGAUCUCGAACCUAGGCUGCGGUUAGAGCAUAAAAAUUGUAUGCGAUAUUGAGUCCAUCACACAAAGUUAGAACAUACAAACUAUGUGCAAUAGGAAGGGUCCAUCACACACGGUUAUAAUUAAAAAUCGUGUGCUCGGAUGGGUUGGCGAUUGGGGUGCCAAUACACACGCUUUCAAAAAGGUGUGCGAUGAAUGGGCUCGACUAGGUCUAACAUAAGUGCUACAUUAUACAAUUAUUAAUUUUUUACAAGCAAACAUAGCACCAGACAUAAUUCACAAUUGGACAACCCAUCGCACACUCUACGAUAUUUUGUUCUGCCAUUUCUCUACUAAUGGACAAAAGGCACUCGGCUUACAUCGGUAUGCCAACAUGAUGUACCUUGAGUGCGUUACGCUGAGUGUCAAANNNNNNNNNNGCGAUAUUGAGUCCAUCACACAAAGUUAGAACAUACAAACUAUGUGCAAUAGGAAGGGUCCAUCACACACGGUUAUAAUUAAAAAUCGUGUGCUCGGAUGGGUUGGCGAUUGGGGUGCCAAUACACACGCUUUCAAAACGGUGUGCGAUGAAUGGGCUCGACUAGGUCUAACAUAAGUGCUACAUUAUACAAUUAUUCAUUUUUUACAAGCAAACAUAGCACCAGACAUAAUUCACAAUUGGACAACCCAUCGCACACUCUACGAUAUUUUGUUCUGCCAUUUCUCUACUAAUGGACAAAAGGCACUCGGCUUACAUCGGUAUGCCAACAUGAUGUACCUUGAGUGCGUUACGCUGAGUGUCAAACCCGCCGAGGCAAAAUCAGCCUUUGCUAGGGGGUCUGCACACCCAAUGGCGGAGCUAUGUUGGNNNNNNNNNNNNNNNNNNNNNNNNNNNNNNNNNNNNNNNNNNNNNNNNNNNNNNNNNNNNNNNNNNNNNNNNNNNNNNNNNNNNNNNNNNNNNNNNNNNNNNNNNNNNNNNNNNNNNNNNNNNNNNNNNNNNNNNNNNNNNNNNNNNNNNNNNNNNNNNNNNNNNNNNNNNNNNNNNNNNNNNNNNNNNNNNNNNNNNNNNNNNNNNNNNNNNNNNNNNNNNNNNNNNNNNNNNNNNNNNNNNNNNNUCUUGUAGUGGAGAAUUUUCAACGUAUGAUGUAAAAUAGCCGUUGUGUCAAAAGAAUUGACAGUUAGGUCACUUUGGGCCAAAAAAAAGUAUCCAAAAGAUGCCCUAUAUACCUAUAUGUUGCAAAAGAAAAUUACCCAAAAUUUUGUCACACACAUCUAGUAGCUGCAUUGAAACCAAAAACAAUGCAGCAGGAACCCAACCACUAGCGAUGAGACUACCCCACCGCCGACAGUCGCCACCCCACACCUACUUUGACCGACUGUGCAGCGCAUGCUGCCGCCGUGACUCAAUCGGCCGUUCUCAGCCCCGCUACCACCCUGCCGCUUGGGAUGUCCGCUACCAAAUCUUGGGCCGGCGCAUCCGAUUCCACCGACUCUGGCCAUAGAAAGUUGGUGUAGCUACCGGGACAUCCCCCUUCAGUAUUUUGGCUAAUUUUGAACUUUUUGUCCGGAUCACAAGAAAAUGUUAGUAUCGUCCAUGUUGCUGAAGGGGAAUUACUACUUGGGGAUUUGCUCACUGAAUAUUGGAAUAUACUUACUUUAUGCAUGCCAUCAAAUAUAGCUCAUCCCCUGAAAGAACAAAGAUUGCUGAUGUUUUUUUCCAUGGUUUUCUAAAACAAUGUUGAUCUUUUUCAGAGAAAUGCAAUGAUUAUUUUUAGAGAACAUUCUGCAAAUCAACUAAAUAAGAGUCUAGGCAUUCUUCUUGUUUUUUUCGGGGGGAAGGUGUCUAGGCAUUUAUUAACAUGUAGAACUUACAAUGCAUGGGGAAUGAAAGAUCAAAUAUACCUUGCUCUCCUUUCUUAUUUUAGUGGCUGUUAAUGUCAUCAUAAAGAAUAUUACACAUUAGGAUUGAGUUGUUUUGCUCUUCUAUUUUCCAGUAAGCCCUGCGAUAUUUUACAACCCAUCGGACACCCUUGUCGAUCUGAUGCUAUGUAGAUCAAGAUUAUUUCUAAUUACCUGCGAGACACCGACAAAGUAUAUCAUGUGGAAUUUCUUGUUCCUGUGGUUAGGAGGCUGGGCAAAAAAUAUAUAUGAUCAUCACAAUAAUAUUAGGUCUUGGAACCAUGACUUAUUACAUAAUCAGUUUAUUCACUCUACAUAAAGCAGCGGACUCACAAAGACACAUGCAUAUUGGAUACUACAUUAUAUGGAAGGCGUGCAUGCAUCCGUAACCGAUCACACCCUUAGCUGCACCUGGGGCUCUGCACGAAGUUGCUAACCGGAAAUGACUGGUCGAACGUGGCUGCAUGCUCACUACCAGUAAACCUCAGCUUGUCACCGACGCGUUGAACCGUGUGGAAUGUGAGAAAAUCCCACUCAAAUUGGAUCCUCACGCCACCCAAUUGAGUUAUGGAUCCGGGCCGGAUAACACCACUGACUAUGCUGUCAAACCGAAUCUUGUGUGAUCCACCGGCAACCGUAACAUUGAAGUCGCAGGAGGCGGGGAGUGUCACCUCAACGGCGCCCCCAUGGUUCACGUACGACUUCACACCCUGAGGCAGGAGAGCCCGCGGGAAGUUGUUUAUCUCCAAAAGGUCGUACGCUGUGUCGGAGGUGGCUGCUUGGAGGACAGAAGCCAGGAAGACGAUGAGGAGCAGAUGCUGGAUGGCCAUGGCUAGCUAACUGUUGCUGCUUACAAAUUGUAUCAAGGAAUAUGAGGAACUGGGAAGUAUGUGUAGACUGAGGCCCUGGCCACGUAUUAUAUAUGCUGCCCAACGAAAUCAAAUUCAAUCGUACUUUAAUUGCAUUUAUUUUGUUCCUGAUUAUCACUCCAUCAACCACCUCAUCAAAUAUGCUAAAAAUAUCAUCCCAUUAAAUCAUAUUUAUUUCUGGCCUAGAACAUUCUAUAGUUAAUGGUUAUGCCAAAACGUUCCUCAAAUAUUCAUAAUCAAUACGUACCAUAAAAUGAGACUGAAAUUUCAGAGCAACAUUCAUUUACGUACUUCACAGCCGACAUAUGAAACAUAUGCAAAAACCUAAAAAUGAAUCAAGGGGAAACAUCAACAUCCCAACAGUUUGAUCCUUGAUGUUGGCUUGGGUACCAAUGAGGCUUCUCUUCUCUUCAAAUAAUGUUGUGCAGUGCAACUAAAACAUAAAACACCCGCAAGAAAGAAAUAUUUCAUUUAGAUAUACUUGAGUUUUACAUGAGUAUGCGGUGCAAUAGAAUGAUUAUCUCCCAUUGUACAGAUCAUCUCUUUCAGGAUGCCUACUCAGGCCAGCACAGACUCAUGCAUAACAUCUCCGUGAAAGUUUCCACAAUGUUAUAGCAUGAACUCCCAGACCAUGAGAGAGGCUCAGUACCCAUAUCCAAAAUGAAGAGUGCGGAGGAGCAGGUGCCUACCCCUCCACCUUCCACUUCUCUUAAAAUUUUCCUGUGCAAUGCAACUAAACUAAAAAACAACUCCAAGCAAUAUAUUCAAUUUAUAUCUUGUUGGGUUAUGAUACGUCUCCAACGUAUUUAUAUAUUUUUUAUUGUUCCAUGCUAUUAUAAUUGUUGGGUCAUGAGCCGAAAGCAAGCCAUCGAACAUGCCAGUGUUGGAUUGGAUGAGAUUGUCGACCGCCUGAAGGAGGUUCUCAUCGUGAUCCUUGAAGAGCCGGUCCAGACCUACGGUGAAAUAUGCUCGUUGAAGCGCGUACACGCCACACCUUUCCUCGGACGGCUUGUCCAUCGCCUCCGCUCACGGCCGAUCACGCCACCGCGUCCCGGGAUGGUGUCGCGGCAACUCCAGGACCACUUAAUCUUAUACCAAUUGUGAGCAACUCACCUGAUCGAGAGGAAUUGCUAGGGAUUAGAAUUCGAAAUUGCGGAAAUUGGUUUCUUAGCUAGACGUCCGUCCACCCUCAUAGCUACACUACACCGCAUGUUGCCAUCAUCCAAAUCCCAGCCAGGAGAUAGGAGAGAAGUAUAAUGCCUACUAGCUUAGCCCGCGCGGCGACACGCCGCGCCCAUCGAUCAGUCGCGACUAUGUAGACUAUGGUCCAAGCAUUAGAGUAAUAAGUAGUUAUGAUGAAAUUUGUUGCAUAACUUGAGGCUUUUUAGCAAAUUCUUUUGUUCACAACAAUUUAUAGACACAAAUAUCUAUCUUUCAUGGAAACUUUUAGUUUAUUUUGUACAUAGCAAGGGUCUGUCCACCAAGUUGAAACAAAUACACAACAUGACCAAAAGUAAGGAACUUCGGAACAGUGCUUUCGUAGCUAAAAUUUAAUAAUUUUUCACAUUUCAUAACAUAAAUACUUAACUAAAACUUACAUCUGAUCUGAAGUACAACCAUUGAGACAGUAAUAAAACCACUAUUUUGAUCAUCAGAAAAAAAUUAAUGUGCUUUACAUGGAAAAAGUUUAGAGACAAAAUAAUUUAGCCAAGAGAAAAACUAUUUCAGAUCACAAAAGGCGCUCCAAAGAGUAAUUGUGUAUAUUAUUCAAAAGAACACUUUGUUACCUUCAGGCUUUAAUUAGCCCCAUUGUAUCUUGUGGAAUCAUGCAGUGAUACAAAUUCUUACCAUAAACAAAAAAAUUAAGCAGCUCUUAAUAUAGAAACAACCAUAUCACUCUGAAUCAAGGGAGCAUGAUGCGAUGAACUGAUGACAGGGAAUCUAUGGUAGCAUAUACCCAGGAAACAGUGUUCAUGGAAACUUUGUUAAACAACCCCUUGCUCAGCUUAAAAGUAUUCCUUCCUGGGUCUCCACUGAAACAAAGCAAUAUUUAUACACCCACAGGUGAGAACAAUAUGAGAUUGUUUGAUAUAAAACCAACAAUGCUUGAACAUACUUGUUUCUCUACCUCACCAUGUGGCAACCAGAAAAAGCUUUAAAAAUUAAAAACCACUUGCAAAUUGAAGUUGAGAGCCUUCACUUAUUUCUCGAAAUGGAAGGAGGAAGGGGCCUUAAUUUGUCCCAGUAACCCCAUGAAUAUAAUUAGCCAAAUAUGUGGCAUUUCAUCUUAUUACAUGGUCAUGCUGAAGGAGGGAACAUCAAUAAAAUUAGGCAUAAGAAAUCCAUCAAAUGAAGAGAGAUGUACUUAGAAAUAAGAAUAACAAACAUUCUCAGAUACUAUGUACCUUAUCCUGCCUCUAAGAAUAUGUCAAGAAGGUGAAUCAUUCACUUUUAUGUUACCGUUGCUGACAACGGACAACUGUGGAUGGAAACAAAAUUCUCAGCAAUGCAUAUAUGAAACUAAGUAACAUGACUUAGAAAAUAUAAUGUAAAAUAUCACAAUAAACUACUACUAAGUAUGUUCAAUAGUAAUACAACCUCAGUUUGUACCCCAGAAAUUUCUAUCACCAAAACAUCUUAGAAGGUUCAGUGCUAGUGAUGUGCCUGCCAUAAAACCGAAUGCCAAUUUCUAGUUAAAAAAUAACCGCGCAAGACCAUAUUCCUCUACCGCCAAGGGUAUAUGAUCGAGUGGGGCCAACUAAAGACAGGCCCCACGAUUCCAUUUUUUAAUGUAUGUUGUUGUAUAAUGAAUGACGCGCUUGUAUGCUUACGUGACUAUUUGGUUUUUGAUGUGAUGGAAAUUGGAGGGAAAGAUGCUGGACGGACUAAUUUGAUCAAUCGGGUGAGUAGAAGUAUUAGAGUUUUGGCCAUCUCAUCCAUUAAAUUUGGAUGGAGGGUAUGCAUCUUAAUAUGAUAAACAUAUAUGCAUACCGUAUAUGGGUUAUAUACAUAUAAAAAUCAGUGCAGCAGGCAUUUUUUCUGAAUCUAAACAUCUUGGUGGCCGACUUCCAGUGUGAAAAUAUUGGUUUUAGUCCCUGGUCAAAUGGACUGAUGCAUAUUAUGUUUGGUUGUACCACGAAAAAUAAUUUGGUUGCUUUAAGACAUUCAACCGAGGUAGACGAUGCAAUUUUGGCUGACAUGAAGUUUUACGAUCAUCAAUAUAGCAGAAUAUGCAAAAGAUGGGAUAAAGCAAGUCAUAUCUACUCCCUCAGUCCCAUAAUAUAAGAGCGUUUUUGACACGAUGGAGGGAGUAGUUUGUUUAUUUGUUUGAGGAACACUUAUUUGCUUGGAGAAUAAUGAAGUGUGCUUGCACCGGUACACAUGAGAUGAACUUGAACAAAAGAUCUGCAUUCAUAUAUGCAUUGUACCAGAAAUCAGUGCUGCUCUAACUUGCCUCUGCAUUGCCUCUGAACCAGUGCUGAUCUAUAUCGGAGAUCAGGAAUUUACUCAUCAGGUCACUGCAUCUACUUUAUUGCGAUUAAACCACCAAACUCAAAGAAAUACCUGCAAUUUAUUUAAUAGUCUUAUUUGAUUUUUUAUUCAGAAUGCGUUGAGCUAUUUCUUUUGCCGAGCUACAUUCUUGUACAUUGGAUUCUCAAGGAGCAUCACUUGCGAGACAUAUCUUCACAUACUACCAUUUCAGAACACCACUCCCUUCACGCACAGGACAUACAUGUUCUACAUCCACCCCUCACACUCCUAAUUUCAAACCGAGUUGGCAGGUUAUUGUAAGGCAGGUAAGCAACCUUCUAGAUGGAAUGUUGGAAUUUACUCUGGCAAGGUAGGUCUUAAACAUAUUAUCAUCUGGCUAUCUACUGUUUGAGCUCCCCAUGCUGCUAACACCAUCAAAUAUUGUUUGCUCUGGACAUCUUCAUAUGCCAAUUUGACCUUCUUUUUGGCAGACACAGUAUCUCAGAACAUCUAAAUUGACUCCUUGCACAGGUCUCUGAAUUGACACAAUCAGAAGGAUAAAACAAUCGCUAGAGCUCUUAUAGGAAGUCAGCCAUCAUUUUACUUAGACUAAAGAAGGUGUCUAUCACAAAAAAGGAAAAAAAGUAAGUGCGAAGAAACACAUGUAGGGUUCCACAUAAUUUGUAAGAGAUGAUCAAGGCAUAUAGUUGCAGCAAGUAGCAAAUGGCAUGAAUUUAUUCAUGAUGCACUCACGCAUCAAGGGUGUAAAUCUUCUUUAGCUAGGUCCAAAUGCAGAUAGAUACAGUACAUGAAUGAUGUGUGAUAUGUCAUUGUAGGUUUCAGACCUGAUGAAAAGUUUAUUACAGUACACGAAAAAUAUUCAUGAAACGGUUAUACAGUACAGGAAUGAUGAGAAAUCGGAAAUUUCUGUACAGGAAUGAUUUAUAAUAAAUUGCUGAGAGGAAUAAAGAAGAUGCAGAAUGUCUAAAACUUCUCAAAACUGGAAACAAUUAUACAAAAGCUACCUGACAGAGUAUACGGCUAGGAAUCUGCCUAAUUCAGUGUCUCUUAUAAUCCACCAACGACUACGGCGUAAUCACCAUCACUGCGGCUCAACCAGAAUUCGAUCGAAUAAUGAGGCAAAUAAAGCAGCUAAUAUGGGGUAAAUGCACACUAACUUGGCAGCAAGAACAGAUGGGUCAUAAGCGCCUUCAGUGACCCUACGACCUGCAAAUGGUAGUAUACAGACAGUGCGCCUUUACUCUGAAUAACCGAGAAGGAGCUGCCUUUAUCCUAUUUUUUUGCGGGGGAGCUGUCUUUAUCCUCCACUCAAGCUAGCUAUACUUACAAAGUUAGAGUUGUAUAAAGUUUUGAAGCGUAGCACUGUGAAUGGAUCACUCGUCCAGCAGCCUCCUGACACAUAAAAUAGGCAGAGCGAGCAUUACCAGGUCCCAUAACUCGGGGUCAGGCUAGUCGAACACGAUGACGCGCACCACCGUGCGCCACGCCGACGCCAGGUAGUAGAGCGCAGGCCUCUCGCACUGGUUGUGCGCUAGGGGCUUCAUGUUGAACGCGCGCGCCUUGUAGUCAGCGGGCCAGUACCAGUUCAUGAACAUCCGAGCCGGCAUCUGCAUCUCCCGCGCCAGCAUGACGCCCUCGCCACCGUCACCACGAACCCCCACGCCACUGACACCGUCCACCGGUUCGCCGCGAUGUAGCAUAUCAACUGGUGCAUCACCCCCGUCAAACAGCCUCCGCAGAGAUGCCAGGCGCAAACGCAGCGAGUCAGUGACACCAGCGGUGCUACCUGGUGGGCGGCGAGGAGGCCCAGGAGGUCACCAUACAUGCCUUACUCGUGGAAGCCCGAGUGUCGGCACGCCCAGCUCCGCCAUGCCCCAUGCAUGAUGUAGUAGGGGAUGGCGAGGAGGUUGUCCGGGAGGAAGACCGUGUUGUCGACUUGUCGUCGCCCAUGAUGAACCAGCGUACACCUGGGAGACUGAGGCGGAAGGUCUCGGAGAUGACGGUCGACGUGUGAGAUGCAUGCGGAUGGCAGAGCGAUGACCGUGCGUGUAGGAGAAACCGGAGGUAUCCGGUAAGAUCUUGAUGUAUAUGCACUCCUUCCGCUUCUCCAACAGGCGCGCCAACGCCGCGAAGCUGAACACUGCAGUGUAAUCGUCGUUGUCGACAGCGUCGCCGUGGCAGGUUGCGGUGGUGAUGGCGUACUCGUCGUCGACACCACCGUCACUUUGGAGGGUGGUGGUGGCAUCCUCGCCGUCGACACCACCGUGACCGUGGCGGGCGUCGGCAGGGGCCUCGUCAGCGGCAACGUGACUAAUCAGGAGGAUAGUGUUGUGGGCGGCUUCUUCUGGGUGGAGGCAGCCGGGCGCUGCCACGCUGGGCAAGAUGCCAUGUAUGAAGAAGAGCCCUUUUAUAGGCCAGUACGGCGGUGAACGGGUGGCUGGGUUAUGCACCGCACUGGAGCAGAGUUUUCGGGAGCGUCUAGAACACACGGCUGGCCAACAGCGGCAGUAACAAAAAGGGACAUAUCGAUUGGGCUAGAAGCGAUCGCGACAGAAAUACAGAGAAGCAUCGAUGUGUCAGGAAAGGGACAUAUCGAUUGGGCCAGAAGCGGCCGUGACAGAAAUACGGAGAAGCAUCGAUGUGUUAGACUGGCCCACAAGCAAUGAAAAAACGCUAAGCCAACCAAGCGAUCGCCACACCCGUUGAAGAAAUUUGAAUCAAAAAACUGAACACACCACUCAUUUCUACCCUGCCGUGUACCAAAAAAAUACCACGCGCCAUACUCACAACUCACCAUAGGUCACUUUCAUCCAAUUGGUUUAAUCUCAGAGCGAAAACCUUGCCUGCAAUAGAGGCUUGGGUAUUUAAACUAGUGAUCGCUAACAUAGUAGAAAGGCGUGCUCAUAGUCCAUCAACCAUCGCGGUGGGUUGAUCUCGAACCUAGGCUGCGGUUAGAGCAUAAAAAUUGUAUGCGAUAUUGAGUCCAUCACACAAAGUUAGAACAUACAAACUAUGUGCAAUAGGAAGGGUCCAUCACACAUGGUUAUAAGUAAGGGUUAAUUAUCCUUUUGCCCUUAGUGGUGUCCAUGUGCUCAGUUUUGCCCUCAGAUGCGAAUUGUCCUCAGUUUUGCCCCUAGUCCGAGCACAGCAACUACGACGAGGCCAAACGGCCAUAUUUGAGUCCAUUCCGUCCGCCGGCGUUAGUAGUUGUGGGUCCGGAGCUUACACGUGGGACCGCGUGGACGUGGGUCCGGAGCUGACAUGUAGGCCCCUGCAACUAAAUCCCCAAAUCAUUCUAGCUCACACCCAUCCGCGCGGCCGGCUGUCCUGCGCCGCCGCCGCCGCCACCUGCGCCGCGGCCAGCACCUGCCCUGCCACCAGUUGCACGGCCUGCUCCGCCGCUACCUCCCUGCGCCUACGCUCCACGGCUCAUUGUGACGCCCACCACCUUCCUGCGACGCCACGGGUGGGGCGCCCGCCACCUGCUCGAUUCGCGGCGCGGCCUCCUUCCGUGCGCCCGGCCGGAGCGCUCAAAGGUGGGGGGCUGCUGGAGCUAUUUGAACUAGGAGGAAGAACCCUAGGGCGAAAUGGUGAGCAGCGGCGACCCCGGAGUAUUUGGCGAGGCAGGCAUCGGGCCGGAGAUCCGCCGCGUCCACGACUGGGUUCCCGAGGGGUAAGUCUCGCCUCUUGUUUAGAUUGAGCUUAGUUGUGCAUUUGAACACUCGAUUCGAGUAGGUUUGCCCAAUUAGUGUGCUGAUUGCGUCUCUGUUUUUCGCCGGUUAGGAUGGAGUUGCGGUUUGCUUUCAUGGUGCACAUUAGAAGGGACCGGUACAUGUUCGAUGCAAAGGAUAAGAAGAAAUACCAAGGAGGUUUUGAUUAUCGGUUGCCAAUGGCUAGUAAUUGGAGUUUCAGACAAAUUGGGGAGGUAAUUUGUAGCCAAUAUCCUUGGGGUUUGCUUGAUGAAGUGGUAUACAAAUACUAUGAUGGGGAAAAGAAUUGGGUGACAGUUAGUAAUGAUGAAGAGCUAGCUACCAUGUUUGUUAGGCAUAAAGAGAAAGAUAAUUUUCAUGUGAGGCUGCAAGUUGAUGUGCUUGAGCAGGCAUUUGGACCUAGGAUGGCGGGUGCAACAUCUCGGGGAGAAUCAAGUCGUCGUAAUGGCAUCUCUAGCCAGAACAGUUCAGUUGGUGCACGGCGACGUGGUGGCUCGACAAGUGUGGGCAACAGCAGUAGGGUCCCCCUUGAAGUGGAGCCUGAUGGCUACAAUUCUGGGGUUGAUGAAGAGAAGUUAUAUUCUGAUGUUAUUCAGAAUUUACGACGGGCACCUCGGGCUGAAAACCAAGAUGAGGCUCACAAUGCAGUCCGUGUGGAUGAUGACGCAAUGGGUGAGGACGAAGACCUUGCAGCUGUUGAAUGGGACCCUUUGAACCCUCAAAUGGAAGAAGGUACAGUUUUUGCAUCCAUGAAUGAGUGUAGAAAUGCACUUGUGACAUACUGCAUCAAGGUAGAACGUACUUUCAAAGUUGACAAGAGCGAUCAAGUACGUUACAGAGUGCACUAUCCUACUGAGGGUUGUCCAUGGAGGCUGCUUGCAGCUAAAAUGCGGAAUAGCACUAAUGUUCAGGUCAAAGUGGAUCCUUUUAAGCACACAUGCCAGGAAUCAACUCUUAGGAAGGAUACAAUCAGUAGAGCCAAGUCAAGAUGGGUGGCAGAAGAAGUAAAAAAGUGGGUGAAAGAAAACCAGCAAGUGGGUCCAAAGGAAUUGCAGAAGAACAUCAAAGAUAAGUUCAAGAUAGAUUUACCAUACAUGAGAUUGUUCAAUGGUAAACAACAUGCUAUGGAUUCUAUUUAUGGUAACUGGCAGGAAAGUUUUCAAUUGUUGUAUUCAUUCAAAGGUGAAGUGGAGAGGACAAGCCCAGGUAGUAUUGUAGAUAUUGAUCACCACACCGUGGAGUACACAUUAAGGGGAGUGACAAAGACCAAGGAAUGCUUUAGAAGGGUUUUUGUCUGCUUUGAGGCUUGUCGCCGGGGUUUUUUGGUAGGCUGCAGGCCUUAUUUGGCUAUUGAUGCCACUUUUCUCACAGGAAGGUUUAAAGGACAGUUAGUUGCAGCUUGUGCAGUUGAUGCACAUAGUUUUGUAUUUCCAGUUGCCUAUGGUGUGCUGGAGACAGAGUCUGAGGAGAGCUGGACUUGGUUUUUGCAUAAUCUCCGCCGGGCUAUUGCACAUCCCAAUGGGUUGGUCAUUCAUACAGAUGCCUGCAAAGGUUUAGAAGUGGCCGUGGACAAUGUGUUCCCUGGAGUAGAGCAUAGGGAAUGCAUGCGUCACCUUGCUGCAAAUUUCAUGAAGAAAUUCAAAGGAAAGGUGUAUACCGACAAUUUAUGGCCAGCAUCUUUGACAUGCAGUGUGAAGAAGCAUAACUACCACUUGAGGCAGUUAUACAUGAAUCCCAAAGUGAAAGAAUACUUGGAAACACACCACUCCAAGUUAUGGGCCAGAAGCCAAUUCAGUGAAGUGAGCAAAGUUGACUAUGUGCACAAUAAUCUAGCAGAGUCUUUCAACUCAACGAUCCGGAAACUAAAGGGUCAUUAUGUGGUGGAUUUGCUUGACAGGAUAAGGAUAUAAUACAUGCAGAAAUUUCAUUAUCGUGCAGGAAUAGCCGAGGCAAAAUUCAUGGGCCACAUUAUCAUCCCUGCCAUGAUGAAUGAACUGAAGCAGAAGACAAUAGGCUUGGAAAUGAACAUGACGCUUUGCUCGGGUACCACAGCAGAGAUAUCAUAUUUGGAUAAAGAGAAGAGGGAAUGGAGAUAUCCAGUGGAUUUAGAAGCUAGAACUUGCAGUUGUAGGCAAUGACAGAUAACUGGGUUGCCAUGCAUUCAUGCCUUAUUUUUCAUCACUUCUCUCCCAGGUCCAGCAGGGAACACACAGCAGUAUGUGCAUGAUUACUACUCUGUUGCAAGGUUCAAAGCCACAUAUGCUUAUGCCUUGCCUGCUAUGGAGGGAAAACAACAAUGGGACAUGGUGGACCCUGGAUUCAAGCUUUGCGCUCCAGUUCUGAAGAGAGCAGCAGGUAGACCAAGGAAGAGUCGAAUAAGACCUUGCAGCGAAGGAGCUGGACUUGGAGCGAGGAAGCGUAAGUGCACAAGAUGUGGUGGGUCUGGUCAUUUCGGUAAGUAUUGUGAUAAUACAGUAGAUCCAGCGUUCGGAGAGAGUUUCGAUGAAGGCUUCGAUGAAAAUGUUGGUCAGCAGCCGGUUGCCUCAACAGAUGAUGAAAAUGUUGGUCAACAGCCGGUUGCCUCAACAGAUGAUGAAAAUGAUGGUCAACAGCCGGUUGCAUCAGAUGAGGAUUUUGACGAGGUUCCAAAUGAUGAUGGUCAACAGCCGCAUGAUUUUGACGAUGAUCCAAAAUAUCCUCCAAAUAAUGAUUCAAGUGAGGCUCCAAAUGGUGAUCCAAGUGAGGCUCUAAAUGGUGAUCAUGGUGAUCCAAGUGAGGCUCCAAAUGAUGAUCCAAGUGAGGCUCCAAAUGGUGACCAACCUUCUGUUGUUGUGAGUUCUGCUAGGUAUGUAAAUCUUGCAAGGGUCAAAUACUACUGUACAUCUAUCACUUGACACGAUCUCAUUACCGUUUAUGUUUGGACCCUUUAUGUUUUGCACAGCUCUAUGGUAGGUUUGAAGAAGACGCGCAAGGUACCGACAACCAAGAGAAGAAGAGAAGAAACAAUGAGCACAAGGUGCACGAGGAGCAAAGUGAUGACAAGAAGCUCAAGGAACAGACAGAAGCCCCAACGCUAUCUAUGAACAAUUAUGAAACAUUAUGAAUAAGGAAUGAUGUUGUAUUAUGAAACAUUUAUCACUUGACAUGUUGUAUUUCUGUUGGAUGAUGUUGGACCUAUGUUAGAAGUAUGUUUGACAUGAUGUUUAAAUAUAUGUUGGAUGAUGUUUGAAUGAGCACAUGGUUUUUCCUUUUUUUGAUUUUUUUGAAUUUUAUUUUGCUCAUUUAAAUUCUGGUCAAACCUAACUUUGACCAAGAUUUAAGCAAGUCUAAAACAUCAAAAUGAAAAACUAAGCCUGGAUACUUCUUAGUCAAUCCAAAAUGAAGUUGUGGUGAGGUUUUUGAAAUUUUCAUGAAAAAUGUGCUAAAAAGAGGGGUCCAAAGGUAGGGUAAACGGCCUCAUUUCUAAGCAAGGUUUUUUUCGACCUUAUCUAAAUCAGUCAAAUAACUUUCCUACACAUAUAUUCUAUAUGUACAGACUAUGUGCGCUGGUUUUUCCAUUUUUUGAUUUUUUUUAAAUUUGUUUUGCUCAUUUGAAUUCUGGUCAAACUUAACUUUGACCAAGAUUUAAACAAGUGUAAAACAUCAAAAUGAAAAACUAAGCCUGGAUCCUUCUUAGUCACUCCAAAAUGAAGCUGUGGUGAGUUUUUUGAAAUUUUCAUGUUCAUUUCCCCAAAACACUUCUCUUCACUUCAUACAAGAGAGUUUGAGAUACUCGAGAUAUCAUACAAUACACAUGAACUUAUCAUUUAAAUGUAUGUAAAGCUUGUUUAUCAACUUAAAUCGUUAGUAUAUGACAUAAGAAGACUAUGUGCGCAGGUUUUUCAUUUUUCUGAUUUUUAUUUAAUUUAUUAUGCUCAUUUGAAAUCUGGUCAAACAUAGCUUUGACUGCUCCAAACCCCUCCCAAACCCCGCUAACCCUAGCGCUGAAUAAGGACCGUUCAUCUAACCCUAGUGGUGAUCAAGGGCCGUCGAUCUAACCCUUCUAGAAGAAAUCUGCGGGGAGGAGGGGGGCGAUCCGCGAGAUGCAAUCUGAUUGGCUGGGAGAUUGUUUUUUUUAACAAAUAUCGGACGCGCUGGAUGGACCGUUGGGCCGUCUCGUUGUCUGGGCCUGAGAUCGCAGUAAAUAGCCCGUCUCAGCCUUUCCAGGCCUUGCAUGCAUGGAGGCGGCUACGUGGGUUUGCGCAUGCGCGGGAGGCGGCGACGUGCAUGCAUGCGAGUGAGGCGAGCUAGGCGAGCUAGGCUAGCGAGGCGAGCUAGGUGGUUCAGGGCAGUGGUUCAGGGCAGCGGUUCACAUGCACUGCCCGGUCAAAGAUGCAUCGUUUUCGUGCAAAAAUGUAAGUGUGCAAAACAUAACGGAUACACACACGCGUCCAGAUUCACGCACGCACCAUUCUCAUCCUUUCUCUCUUCCUCUCCCACCCACAGGCCUAUAAAUGGGGUUCCUCUCUUCCUCUCCCACCUACAAGCCAGAUCCGAUCCUCUCCAACUGCAAACACCCAAGCGACCAAGCCCUCCCCAAGCGAGACCAAGUGAAGAAGAUGUAGUUCAACGGGCCGACCUUCCGCCGUCCGCCUGUGGUGCCGGAGCUGCGCUACCCACCGGGCGUGCUCGUGGAGAGGGAGCUCCGUGUGUGGGCUAUUUCAAGGUGGAGGGGUUUCGUCGAACUCACCCGCGCCUUCCUCAGAGCCGGCUAUGCCCACCUCCUACAGGGCUCAUCGAGGAUGUUCACCCUCAACGAGGUUCGUGACCGCGGCGGCAUCCUCCUACUGCUCACGGUCACCUUCACCAACCCAUUUGACGCGCGCGAGCUCCUCGGCCAAGUCUUUUGGUGCGGCUGCGAGGUCAUCUUCUUCACCAUCUACAACAUCUACACCAACUACAAGCGCAUCUUCCCUGCUCCAGGCCAGAUGCACUCCCUUCCCUACGACGACGAGGAGGAGGUGUGAAGAUGAAGACGGUGUUGAAGGGGCGCGCGCGGCCAAGGUGGAAGAAGGAGGUCAAGAUGAAGAUGUUCAAGCCCGGAGUCAAGCUCAUCAUGUUUGGUUUUUUAUUUUGUUGCUUUUCUAUGUCGUGUCGUGUCGUGUCAUGUUUCAUCAUGUGUCCGUGAACUAUCCGUGAACUUAUCUAAGUUAUUGUAAUGGUACGGUGUGUUCCAUCUUAUUAUGUGUGUUAAAAAAUGUCCGUUCCCAAACUUAUCAUUUCUUCCCUAAACAAGUCAUGAAGUUCGAGAACUUGUGGUUUUCGGAGGGGGUGAGAAGCCCUCUGUUUUAUUCAAACAAAAAGUCAUGAACUAACAUGCAAAUUUAUUCCCUUUAAAUCCUAAACCAAGUGCCACUCUAACCCUAAACCAAGUGCCACUCUGACCAAAAUCAUGUGGUAGUGCAACAUACAUUUUCAACCUUCCAACCCUCCAAAAUUUAAGUGCAAAACAAAGGAAAACCACUCUCACGCGUGUGCAAACAUUCACGGUCUCACUAUUUUUUUUUAAAAUUCACAGUCUCACUAUGUAUACCUUCCUUCCCUACCCAUGUCAAAGUCUUGCCAUCUGUCCUAGCGGUUACCAGCGCAGCCCUAAACACCACAAACCCACGCGGUCCUGGGUUCGAGUCCCCAGCCGCACCAAUUUUUUGUGCAUUUUCCACCCUUCAUUUUUUUAUACAUAUUAUGUUUUCCUCAAUGUAAUGCCCUUAAAAAAUGUUCAUUUAUUUUGGCACCUGGCGUAAACCUCUACCAGAGCUGAGGCACAUUUUCCAUGACAUUUUGGUCUUUGAUUUAAAUCACGGUGUAUUUGAAUUGGAUUAAUUAACAGCUCGAAAAAAUUUCUAACCUUAAUUGUUUGGCUCCGGAAUAAUUCAAUUAGCUUCCACAAAAAGUUUCAGCAUUAUGAUUUACUGCCUAAAUUAAAUCAGAAUAGAAAACAAAAAAAUAUGCAAGAAAACCCCUGAAUGGGCCUAAUUGGAUGCAGUUGGCCCAUUAGUCUAGCCUGCACUUGGCUCUACGCUCUGAAUUUGGCCCAAGAGCAACCUUUUUUCGGACAGAAAGGCAGAGCAGAGAGCUGCAUUUCAUUGAUCAAAAGUUUCUGAAUUCCUAAUUUCUUCUCUUUUUUUUCCAACAUAUUUAAAUGUUGGUCACUUCUUCUCUUUUUGUUUCAACAUUUAAACAACUUUAACCAACAUUUAAACUAGGUGAAUUUCUCAAACAAUUUCAAGAUUACAAAUUCCUUCAUAAUUCAUGCCUUUCCAUACAUUUUCAACAUUACAACCAGUGCGAUUACCAUACCUACAAAUGCCCAAAAGUAUUUGCAAAUGGGUAUUGGUAGUGCUUGAUCUUCAAGCUUCCUAACCUUCUUCUUCAACAUCCUAAGCUCAAUAGCUAGCUCUCUGUCAGUGCGUGCUUCGCCAUCCAUCUCUUCUUCCGGAGCUCGUGGUGUGGCUACUGCCGUUCGUGGCAGCAUGCGCAACCAUUCUUCAUGCUCUUCUUGCAGUUCAUUCAUCAGAGUCUUGGCCAGAGCAUCGACCCAAAGAAAGAAGCAUGUCACCUGCAUGAACACUAAACAGAUCAACCCAUUGCUCAAACAUCCCGACGACGAAAAUGGUGCAAUUGCCCCGAUUCUUACCCCAUUCUCGCUGCACACGUAGAACGGACGAUUCUGGUUCCUCGGUGUCUGAGAAACCCUUCGAUCAACGCCCGCCCGGCACCGCGGACAGACGAAGACAGGCAUGUCCACACGCGCCCGGCUCUGCAUCCGCGAGGUGGCGCGGGAGCUUGAGGAAGACAUGGAGCUCGGAGCCGAAGGGGAUCUCAACGUUGCCGCGCCCUCCACUGCUAGCUUCCCACCGCCGCGCCCUCCACAGCUAGCUUCCCGCCGCCGUGCUCUCUCUCUCGCCGUGGUCACCGCCGUGCUCUCUGUCGCCGUGGUCACCGCCGUUGUCGCCCGCUUAUAUAGCACACCCGCCAACGGCUCUCUGCUCAAUGGCUCUUUGCUGGGUCCCACAAGCCACGCGUGCAACGGACUGAAUAAAAUUGGCCGUUUCUGCCGCCUGGUCCCACCUGUAAGGGCCGAGUCAAAAGGUUGACCUGACGGAGACGGCAGAGUUCACGGAACGAGUCGGUGCGCACGGACUAGGGGCAAAACUGAGCACAAUUCGCAUCUGAGGGCAAAACUGAGCACAUGGACACCACUGAGGGCAAAAGGAUAAUUAACCCUAUAAUUAAAAAUCGUGUGCUCAGAUGGGUUGGCGAUUGGGGUGCCAACACACACGCUUUCAAAACGGUGUGCGGUGAAUGGGCUCGACUAGGUCUGAAAUAAGUGCUACAUUAUAAAAUUACUCAUUUUUUACAAGCAAACAUAGCACCAGACGUAAUUCACAAUUGGACAACCCAUCGCACACUCUACAAUAUUUUGUUCUGCCAUUUCUCUACUAAUGGACAAAAGGCACUCGGCUUACAUCGGUAUGCCAACAUGAUGUACCUUGAGUGCGUUACGCUGAGUGUCAAACCCGCCGAGGCAAAAUCAGCCUUUGCUAGGGGGUCUGCACACCCAAUGGCGGAGCUAUGUUGGGGCCAGGGGGCCACUGCCCCCCAGCCUUUGAUCAAUUCCUGAAGAAAAUUUAUUUAGGGAGGCUUAGAUUAGACUUUUUUUAGCAUUUGGCGCCCCCAAAAACUGAAGAUUUUUGUUUCCCCCCCCAGUGAUCUUCGGCUAGCUCCGCCACUAUGCACACCCAGCUUAAUAUGCUUUCUUGUAGUGGAGAAUUUUCAACGAAUAAUGUAAAAUAGCCGUUGUGUCAAAAAAAUUGACAGUUAGGUCACUUUGGGACAGAAAAAGUAUCCAAAAGAUGCCCUAUAUACCUAUAUGUUGCAAAAGAAAAUUACCCAAAAUUUUGUCACACACAUCUAGCAGCUGCGCUGAAACCAAAAACAAUGCAGCAGGAACCCAACCACUUGCGAUGAGACUACCCCACCGCCGACAGUCGCCACCCCACACCUACUCUGACCGACUGUGCAGCGCAUGCCGCCGCCACGACUCAAUCGGCCGUUCUUAGCCCUGCUACCACCCUGCCGCUCGGGAUGUCCGCUACAAAUCUUGGGUCGGCGCAUCCGAUUCCACCGACUCUGGCCAUAGAAAGUUGGUGGCUACCGGGACAUCCCCCUUCAGUAUUUUGGCUAAUUUUGAACUUUAUGGACGGAUCACUAGAAAAUGUUAAUAUCGUCCAUGUUGCUGAAGGGGAAUUACUACUUGGGGAUUUCCUCACUGAAUAUUGGAAUAUACUUACUUUAUGCAUGCCAUCAAAUAUAGCUCAUCCCCUGAAAGAACAAAGAUUGCUGAUGUUUUUUUCCACGGUUUUCUAAAACAAUGUUGAUCUUUUUCAGAGAAAUGCAAUGAUUAUUUUUAGAGAACAUUCUGCAAAUCAACUAAAUAAGAGUCUAGGCAUUCUUCUUGUUUUUUUCAGGGGGAAGGUGUCUAGACAUUUAUUAACAUGUAGAACUUACAAUGCAUGGGGAAUGAAAGAUCAAAUAUACCUUGCUCUCCUUUCUUAUUUUAGUGGCUGUUAAUGUCAUCAUAAAGAAUAUUACACAUUAGGAUUGAGUUGUUUUGCUCUUCUAUUUUCCAGUAAGCCAUGCGAUAUUUUACAACCCAUCGGACACCCUUAUGGAUCUGAUGCUAUGUAGAUCAAGAUUAUUUCUAAUUACCCGCGAGACACCGACAGAGUAUAUCAUGUGGAAUUUCUUGUUCCUGUGGUUAGGAUGAACCAUUGCAACAUAUCGCAAUAAAUAGCUGGGCAAAAAAAAUAUGAUCAUCACAAUAAUAUUAGGUCUUGGAACCAUGACUUAUUACAUAAUCAGUUUAUUCUCUCUACAUAAAGCAGCGGACUCACAAAGACACAUGCAUAUUGGAUACUACAUUAUAUGGAAGGUGUGCAUGCAUCCGUAACCGAUCACACCCUUAGCUGCACCUGGGGCUCUGCACGAAGUUGCUAACCGGAAAUGACUGGUCGAACGUGGUUGCAUGCUCACUACCAGUAAACCUCAGCUUGUCACCGACGCGUUGAACCGUGUGGAAUGCAAGAAAAUCCCACUCAAACUGGAUCCUCACGCCACCCAGUUGAGUUAUGGAUCCGGGCCGGAUAACACCACUGACUAUGCUGUCAAACCGAAUCUUGUGUGAUCCACCGGCAACCGUAACGUUGAAGUCGCAGGAGGCGGAGUGUCACCUCAACGGCGCCCCCAUGGUUCAUGUAUGACUUCACACCCUGAGGCAGGAGAGCCCGCGGGAAGUUGUUUUUCUCCAAAAGGUCGUCCGCUGUGUCGGAGGUGGCUACUUGGAGGACAGAAGCCAGGAAGACGAUGAGGAGCAGAUGCUGGAUGGCCAUGGCUAACUGUUGCUUAUAAAUUGUAGGAUCGAUAUACGAAAAUGAGGAAUGGGGAAGUGCGUGCAGACUGAG